RNAcentral lists this ribosomal RNA (111 nucleotides) under Klebsiella grimontii. Lineage: Bacteria; Pseudomonadati; Pseudomonadota; Gammaproteobacteria; Enterobacterales; Enterobacteriaceae. The record is from RNAcentral.
UGGCGGCGAUAGCGCGGUGGUCCCACCUGACCCCAUGCCGAACUCAGAAGUGAAACGCCGUAGCGCCGAUGAUAGUGUGGGGUCUCCCCAUGUGAGAGUAGGGAACUGCCA